This 484-nucleotide ribosomal RNA is filed under the name uncultured bacterium. Its description in RNAcentral is "partial 16S ribosomal RNA". It matches the Rfam family "Bacterial small subunit ribosomal RNA", at positions 30 to 507 of the family's 1533-position model. The record is from RNAcentral.
AUUGAACGCUGGCGGCAGGCCUAACACAUGCAAGUCGAGCGGAUGAAGGGAGCUUGCUCCUGGAUUCAGCGGCGGACGGGUGAGUAAUGCCUAGGAAUCUGCCUGGUAGUGGGGGAUAACGUCCGGAAACGGGCGCUAAUACCGCAUACGUCCUGAGGGAGAAAGUGGGGGAUCUUCGGACCUCACGCUAUCAGAUGAGCCUAGGUCGGAUUAGCUAGUUGGUGGGGUAAAGGCCUACCAAGGCGACGAUCCGUAACUGGUCUGAGAGGAUGAUCAGUCACACUGGAACUGAGACACGGUCCAGACUCCUACGGGAGGCAGCAGUGGGGAAUAUUGGACAAAGGGCGAAAGCCUGAUCCAGCCAUGCCGCGUGUGUGAAGAAGGUCUUCGGAUUGUAAAGCACUUUAAGUUGGGAGGAAGGGCAGUAAGUUAAUACCUUGCUGUUUUGACGUUACCAACAGAGUAAGCACCGGCUAACUUCGUA